RNAcentral lists this ribosomal RNA (253 nucleotides) under uncultured bacterium. RNAcentral describes it as "partial 16S ribosomal RNA". It matches the Rfam family "Bacterial small subunit ribosomal RNA", at positions 524 to 776 of the family's 1533-position model. The record is from RNAcentral.
UACAGGGGGUGCGAGCGUUAAUCGGAAUUACUGGGCGUAAAGCGCACGUAGGCGGCUUUGCAAGUCGGGUGUGAAAUCCCCGGGCUCAACCUGGGAACUGCAUCCGAGACUGCAUUGCUAGAGUAUGGGAGAGGGAAGCGGAAUUUCUGGUGUAGCAGUGAAAUGCGUAGAUAUCAGAAGGAACACCAGUGGCGAAGGCGGCGACCUGGGCCAAUACUGACGCUGAGGUGCGAAAGCGUGGGGAGCAAACAGG